AGAGUUUGAUCAUGGCUCAGAAUCAACGCUGGCGGCGUGCCUAACACAUGCAAGUCGAACGCGAAAGCCCCGCAAGGGGUAAGUAGAGUGGCAAACGGGUGAGUAACACGUGGGUGACCUGCCUCAGAGUGGGGGAUAACGACCCGAAAGGGUCGCUAAUACCGCAUAACAUCCUGCCUUUGGAUAGGUGGAGAUCAAAGCCGGGGAUCGCAAGACCUGGCGCUUAGAGAGGGGCCCGCGGCCGAUUAGCUAGUUGGUGAGGUAACGGCUCACCAAGGCGACGAUCGGUAUCCGGCCUGAGAGGGCGGACGGACACACUGGGACUGAGACACGGCCCAGACUCCUACGGGAGGCAGCAGUGGGGAAUUGUUCGCAAUGGGCGCAAGCCUGACGACGCAACGCCGCGUGGAGGACGAAGAUCUUCGGGUCGUAAACUCCUUUCGAUCGAGAAGAAUGCCUUCGGGGUUAAUAGCCUUGAAGGGUGACGGAUUCGAGAGAAGAAGCCCGGCUAACUCUGUGCCAGCAGCCGCGGUA
This 534-nucleotide ribosomal RNA is filed under the name uncultured Acidobacteriota bacterium. RNAcentral describes it as "bacterial SSU rRNA". It matches the Rfam family "Bacterial small subunit ribosomal RNA", at positions 8 to 522 of the family's 1533-position model. Lineage: Bacteria; Pseudomonadati; Acidobacteriota. The record is from RNAcentral.